RNAcentral lists this unclassified non-coding RNA (267 nucleotides) under Hevea brasiliensis (rubber tree). Lineage: Eukaryota; Viridiplantae; Streptophyta; Magnoliopsida; Malpighiales; Euphorbiaceae. The record is from RNAcentral.
GCCAAUUAUUGUUGGGGAAUUUGCUAUUGAGAAACUUGUAGAUAACAUUCUAGAAGGAGAUGAUAAUGGGGACUGUCCAGACCAGUUUCAGCUUGUGAAAAAUCUGGUGGAAAGAAUUGGUUAUGAAAUAAAAAUGGUGAGAAUUACACAGAGAGUGGUUAACACUUAUUUUGCAAGGGUGUAUUUUAGCAAGCCAGGAGNNNNAUUCUAAGUGUAGAUGCACGGCCGUCUGAUGCCAUUAAUGUGGCAAACAGAUGCAAGGCCCCG